Non-coding RNA from Danio rerio (zebrafish), 839 nucleotides. NCBI's taxonomy places the organism in Eukaryota, Metazoa, Chordata, Actinopteri, Cypriniformes, Danionidae. The record is from RefSeq and is a predicted model, not a curated record.
CGAUCCCAAGGUUCACUGCGGUUUUCCACAAGUCUGUUUCUGCCUAUCACCAUGAGUGAUUCAGAACUCCAAGAGCAGCUUAAGGACCUUGAUACUCAGAUUGAUCAUCAAGAUCUCAAUUAUAAGCUCAAGUCUUGAUGACAACUUGGUGAUCUGCAGGAAGCACCACCAUGUAAGGAAGGCCAAGACCACUCUGGAAUCAGUCAAGGGUGAAAUGGAGUGAGGCAUACAAGGAUAUGUGUGGUUUUACUCUUGGGAAGGAGGUUGAACAGUGCAGUGUUUCUUCUCUAGGAUUGCAGUGACCAGACAUGCUACUGUAACUCUCAUGGUCAUGUGCUGGAAUUAGCAGAUAUUCAACAAUUUGGCCAUCUCGCUGACCUAUUGAUAUCAGAAGACCGCAACAGCUCUGCAAAGCAAGUUGCAAAAAAGAAUCCAUGGAACUGGCAUUGACUGGAAACCAAUUGGAAGACUUUGGUUUGUGAUGUAGAGGAGUGGGCAGAGGGUGAGGAAAUUCUUAUUAAUAUUACAUGUAGUCAUGAAAAAUUGUAAGUGUUACUAUUAUUGUCAUUUUUUCAGUAGCAGAAGCAAAGACAACAAAAAACAGAAGUGAUAUGGAUGUCUUCGUCAUAUGGCAUGACUCUGCUGAUCCCGCAACAAAGAGGAGGGUGUUCAACAUCAUCCUGCUAGUCAGGAUUCUUCGGGAGCAGUGGAUUCUUGUGGCAGAGAUGGCCAACCACUAUAAAUACCUUUCAACUCAUCCUGGUUCUUUCAAAGAACUUUCCUGCUUGUUUGCUUCUGAAAAGUACUGGUAUGUAUUUGUAUUAUUUGGCUCAAACUCA